AAAACGACUCUCGRCAACGGAUAUCUCGGCUCUCGCAUCGAUGAAGAACGUAGCUAAAUGCGAUACUUGGUGUGAAUUGCARAAUCCCGUGAACCAUCGANUCUUUGAACGCAAUUUGCGCCCCAAGCCGUUAGGMCGAGGGCACGCCUGCCUGGGUGUCACGC
This 164-nucleotide ribosomal RNA is filed under the name Acer platanoides (Norway maple). RNAcentral's name for it is "5.8S rRNA". It matches the Rfam family "5.8S ribosomal RNA". From Rfam's summary of the family: 5.8S ribosomal RNA (5.8S rRNA) is a component of the large subunit of the eukaryotic ribosome. Lineage: Eukaryota; Viridiplantae; Streptophyta; Magnoliopsida; Sapindales; Sapindaceae. The record is from RNAcentral.